GGAGACGUAGGAUAAUUGGUAAUCCAGCAGAUUCGAAAUCUGCCGCCCCAAAAGGCUUGCGAGUUCGAGUCUCGCCGUCUCCGCCA
This 86-nucleotide transfer RNA is filed under the name Pseudomonadota bacterium. RNAcentral's name for it is "Proteobacteria bacterium (wastewater metagenome) tRNA-Ser". It matches the Rfam family "tRNA". Rfam says of the family: Transfer RNA (tRNA) molecules are approximately 80 nucleotides in length. Their secondary structure includes four short double-helical elements and three loops (D, anti-codon, and T loops). Further hydrogen bonds mediate the characteristic L-shaped molecular structure. tRNAs have two regions of fundamental functional importance: the anti-codon, which is responsible for specific mRNA codon recognition, and the 3' end, to which the tRNAs corresponding amino acid is attached (by aminoacyl-tRNA synthetases). tRNAs cope with the degeneracy of the genetic code in two manners: having more than one tRNA (with a specific anti-codon) for a particular amino acid; and 'wobble' base-pairing, i.e. permitting non-standard base-pairing at the 3rd anti-codon position. The record is from RNAcentral. Lineage: Bacteria; Pseudomonadati; Pseudomonadota.